UACGUAGGUGGCAAGCGUUGUCCGGAUUUAUUGGGCGUAAAGGGAGCGCAGGCGGUGACUUAAGUCUGAUGUGAAAGCCCACGGCUCAACCGUGGAAGGUCAUUGGAAACUGGGUCACUUGAAUAUAGAAGAGGAAAGUGGAAUUCCAUGUGUAGCGGUGAAAUGCGUAGAUAUAUGGAGGAACACCAGUAGCGAAGGCGACUUUCUGGUCUAUUAUUGACGCUGAGGCUCGAAAGCAUGGGUAGCAAACAGGAUUAGAUA
RNAcentral lists this ribosomal RNA (261 nucleotides) under uncultured prokaryote. Its description in RNAcentral is "partial 16S ribosomal RNA". It matches the Rfam family "Bacterial small subunit ribosomal RNA", at positions 524 to 784 of the family's 1533-position model. The record is from RNAcentral.